Molecule: long non-coding RNA, 475 nt
Organism: Gopherus flavomarginatus (Mexican gopher tortoise)
Lineage: Eukaryota; Metazoa; Chordata; Testudines; Testudinidae
Exons: 2
Source: RefSeq, a predicted model, not a curated record
CAGUUUAGCAGCUUCCAGCCACAACCUAGCCCCAGGGCUGUUUUAAGCCCUUUCAGGGCAGGAGCGGGGUAACCACCCUGCUACAACAAGGUAGACAAAGGUUUCAUUGUUCCCAUUUGUAUAUAGAUGGGAAACUGAGGCACAGAGUGAAAUCGCUUGCAUAAGUCCAUCUCUAGUGUCUUAACCAUAAGACAGUCCUUCCUCUCAUUGCUUUUCUUUCUGCAAAAUCUCUUUUAAAGAUAAUCACAGGACAUUAUAUUUUAAAUAUGAGCAGGUCGAAUGACUCAGCACAAGGAAAAUACAGGUGAGGGUCUUUCCUGAAGGCAUAAUAUUUAUUUCCAAAAACCAAAACAAAUUUAACAUAAGAAAAAAAAAAAAGAACAGAAAACUUACCCAGCUUGCAUUUCAUAGAACCUUUUUAUGUGGAGACCUGUAUUCUCACAGGCAUCGUCCUCUCUGUGGCAGAAUCUGAUCC